RNAcentral lists this ribosomal RNA (320 nucleotides) under uncultured eukaryote. RNAcentral describes it as "partial 18S ribosomal RNA". It matches the Rfam family "Eukaryotic small subunit ribosomal RNA", at positions 1470 to 1796 of the family's 1831-position model. The record is from RNAcentral.
CCCUUAGAUGUUCUGGGCCGCACGCGCGCUACACUGACGAAUGCAACGAGCUUAUAACCUUGGCCGAAAGGUCUGGGUAAUCUCCAAAUUUCGUCGUGAUGGGGAUAGAUUAUUGCAAUUAUUAAUCUUCAACGAGGAAUGCCUAGUAAGCGCAAGUCAUCAGCUUGCGUUGAUUAUGUCCCUGCCCUUUGUACACACCGCCCGUCGCACCUACCGAUUGAAUGGUCCGGUGAAAUCUCGGGACGGCGGCUUGGUCGCUUGCGUCCGACUGCUGAAACUUGAUUAAACCAUAUCAUUUAGAGGAAGGUGAAGUCGUAACA